UUGGCUGUUGCACUUGAGGGGCACUUCCCAUUGGUAAUGCUGCCAUUGGCAUUGGCAUUUGAAGUGAUGUUGGGGUGAGACCUUGUGACUGCAUCUGUGGAUUUGGGCCACCAAACUGCACAGACACAGGUGGCUGGUGAAAUGGCAUUUGCAUGGAAGGCAUAGGAAGGGGAAGAACAGACGGCUUUUGUGUCUGGCUCACAGGCUGUGCAGUUGAGACUUGGACAUCCUUCUUGGCUUUGGGCAUUGGAUGAGCCUCCCCAGCACUAGAAUGGUCAACACCACCUACAUCCUUCCUUGGUAAUUGUUGCUUAGGAGCAGGAGUUGGCAAUGGAGGAACAGAUCUAAAUGUAUCAUGG
Molecule: unclassified non-coding RNA, 359 nt
Filed under: Hevea brasiliensis (rubber tree)
Lineage: Eukaryota; Viridiplantae; Streptophyta; Magnoliopsida; Malpighiales; Euphorbiaceae
Source: RNAcentral